Long non-coding RNA from Daphnia magna, 3523 nucleotides. RefSeq lists it as uncharacterized. The transcript has 8 exons. NCBI's taxonomy places the organism in Eukaryota, Metazoa, Arthropoda, Branchiopoda, Diplostraca, Daphniidae. The record is from RefSeq and is a predicted model, not a curated record.
AAAUAACAUGUGAGGCGAGAAACCUUAUAUCUUAUUUAUUUUUUUACAUUUCACAGUAAUAACAGAUUUUAAAGUAAUGACAGAACUCAGUAAACAUACCUGUUGUGUUGGUUUCCUGAUUGGAAUAUUUGACAGUUACCUAAAAUUUCUUCUGGUUAAAAUUUUACUCGCUAGAUGGCGAGAAGGAUAUUAGUUCUCUAGCUUUUGCUGGCGCGCCAGUGAGAUUCGUUUUUUAAUGUCAAGCGCGCCAUCACUUGUACUGUAACUAAUUUCAAUCUUUUCCCCAUUGCUAAAGUAUAAGUAAAUAAAGUAGUUGCCAUCAUUGCGUAUUUCAUUUCAGCAAUUGUUUAUUGUGUUUUACUUUUAACUUGUUUAAUAUGAUGCCUUUUGUUUUUCUCAAAUAUUGUUUGUUUGUCUGAUUUACUUUGUUCCACUAAGCAAUGCAUGUUUUCGCGUUGUGGUGCCUAAUACUAGUCGCCAGAUGUCUCUGCUAUCACAUACCCUUCUCGUUUAUCUCUGGUUGGGCAUUACAGUUUGUCUGCUACAUGAUCAAGGUCGAGUGGAUGUGGACGUCGUGGACGUUAAUGAAGAGUUUUGAAAGGAGAAAGUUUUUAAUUUAAAUUUUCUAUUAGACAAGAAAACAAAUCUUUCUUUUGAAAGUGCACAUCUUCGUGAAUUCUUUCAGUAUUUUUGUCAUGAAAGUAAUCAUGCAGCUUGUUUAACUGUGUUGCUGAUUUCUCCGGUUAACCACGGUAAAUGGCAAUUUUUUUUCCCCUUCUUGAAUGGUUAAACCAGUGAGAUAAUUGCCACUUAUUAACCGGUUAACCUAUGGUUACACGAACACCUCUGACCUCUGGUGGGUGUUUCGAUUUCACCGAUACGCAGAAGGCAGAACGGUUUGCACGCACGCUUUGUGGCAGUGACGAUGUGGGGAUGUGGCCGCUAUGGCAGACAUUUUGCAUAAAACUUCUACCUAAUUGCUGAAAUCCAGGGUGAAAUUUUGAUACCUUACAGGUGCUGAUAGCACUUUACACUUCUUGGUCAAUGAUAGUGAUUUGACUUAUCCUGUGGCCCGAUUGAAGCUUAAAAUGUAAAACACCUCUUUUAAUGAUCAGGUAAACUACAUUUUUAAUUCAUUAAAAAAUCUCAUAAGUUGGUUGAUACAGUGCUAUCAUGGAUCGGUACAAAUCCAUUCUUGAGAAAGAUUAGGUUACAACAAUGCUGUUGAAGACAAUUCUACCUUAGAAACUCUGAUGAACUCACUGUGUGCACAAGGUACUUUUUAGAUGAUUCAGUGUGAUGCUUUAAGAACAAUAUCAUCCAGCUGCUAUAGUGAUAUUGUCAGAUGUUGGUGAAAGAGUUAAAAACAGUCGGAGCCCCAUUUAUCAAAAUAGAGGAAUUAGUUCAUGGAAUACUGGGUGUCACUGUCAAUAGUUGGUGACUAUAUGCUGGGGUUGGCUUAAGUAGGUAUAACAUUUUUUAGUGGCCCAUCUAACCUGCAAUUUUUUUCUCUCCUCCAUAAAGGACCUCCUAUAACAACUUGAAUACGCUUACAAGUUAUAACAAAUUUACGACUCCUUAGUGUAUAGUCUGAAAGCAACUUUAAAAAAAGUGAAAAUGAUUUGGUAUUCGUCAACCCAAUGCAAAAAAGUCCAAAGCAGCGGUGUGCGAAGAAAGUAGUAUGGUGUGCGAAGUAAACAUUAAAAGUAAGAAAUGGAGGAUAGCUUGUGUCGUCAAUCAGCAUGACACGAAGUCAUAAAAUGGCAGGACAGGUGUCGGAAUAGCCGCACGAGACCAAAACAUGGAAGCAACAGCGUAGCAUUUGCUAUCAGUUUGAGUUUACAUGUCCAUCAGCUUACAGUUUUUGGUAACUAUCAGUCUACUUCACAAUUUGGUCUGUAUGUUUUAAUUUCAGUUGAUUGCAAGUUUGUGCCGAACUAAUUAUUUUUUCUACAAACAUGUUGAACUAGCCUCAAUAGCUAGCUAUUGAGUUAUUAGUAGCGUGUUCUUGGUUGUUGGCAGCGGUAAAGAAAUCGAUCAAAAUAUUUAUGAUCUUGUAUCUCCCUAACAACGGCGUAGCAAUGCUGUUGUAGGCUGUUAUCUCUUGGAUGGCUGGAACGACCCCGAGUGUACCUAUGGGCUCCUUUUCUUCCAAGUACAAUAUUACAUUUGCGCCCUACUACACCAUGAUGUACAUUGUUCCCGCAUACUACUACACCAAUGCGCCACAGUAGUACUCAACGAAAAGCACAAGUAUAACGUGACCAAAUCGAUGGAGUAUUACACAACCACGUGUGUAGCUCCAAAAUACUACACCACAAGAAUAGCGUUUACAUUAUGCUGAAGCUCUUGAGUACUAUUUGGCCCAAAUUACUAUGUUUGCCUCUCAAAGCUACACUCGCCCAGGCAUCGAGUACUAUACAACUAAACCUGAGUAUUGCAUAACGACUUGUAUUACAUUGAAAUAUUAUAGUACGAAGCUUCAAAGUACUAUUCUGUUUCAAGAUGCUACACCGUCGCUGUCCCAUCUUACUAGGUCGUGCGUAACAUAAGCGACAGCUUAUGCCUCAUCAACUUGCUAAUCUAAAGCUCUGAAAUGCCAUUCAGUCACAAGAUACAAUAUUGAGGCAAUAUUUUUUUAAAUUAUUAUAGAUUAAUCCGAAGUCUUUAAAAUAAUUACAUAAUCAAAAAGUAAUGUUAAAUCAUUAAACAUGCUAUCGUGUAUGCCGCGCCUAGCUGAAUACUGAAGCUCCGAAAUACUACACAACAUAUUCUGCUGAAUACUAUACUACCCCUCCGCGGAGUGUGGAAUACUGCAUUACCAUCAGACAACUACAACUUGAGGGCACGAGCUUCUAUCAAAUUUAUUAAGAUGUGGUUAUUUGCACAAAUUUUGAUUCCCUACGGUUAGUUGCCAUUUGGCUUUAUGACUUACCCGCACGUCUAAAGCUCAAAUAAUUGUAGAUGUCUCUCUCACCACAAAAUAUUAAUUCGUUGUGGUGAACGGAAAAACUUACUGAUCACUUCAUUCUUCAAUUGCAUGAUAUCAUGUCCUUAUUUGAAUCUAAUAUCGCUCGUAUUUUUUUUUUUUUGUGUAUCUUUUUUUGUUUCUAUCUUGGAGUUCAUACAGUUGUUAUAGGUAACAGGUGCAUUUAAUGAGAAAGUUCUCGUGGCCGCCACAUCCUUGAGAAAUCUAUAGACGUUACGAACUGUUAAAGCAAUCCACGACAAUAGCAGAUGUUUCAUUUUGCCAGCCGUCGACCGAACAUGAUUUUCCCUUUCCCGCUAUGCCACUACAGAUAAGUUUUCAAUGUGAAGAAAAUCAACGCAAAGCUCCUAAGCGGUUAGCUUUUGCCAAAAAAUCACGUUAAUAAAAUUGAAUGCCGAAUCCGAGAAAGUUAUUCAUUUUCUCCGUUUUGGAAAAUAAUAACGAAUAGUUGUGCUAUACCACGCUAUCGCUGUAGCAUGCUGGAACACAACUUUGUUAACAUGUUUUUUACGUUUAAUUUGAAAAAUUCAAGUU